RNAcentral lists this long non-coding RNA (332 nucleotides) under Androctonus crassicauda. The record is from RNAcentral. Lineage: Eukaryota; Metazoa; Arthropoda; Arachnida; Scorpiones; Buthidae.
GCUUUGUUUAGUGAAGUUCUUCUCGUGUAAGUAACUUUUAAUAAUUAUUAUAUCGUAAUUUUAUUAUGGAUUGAUGGUUAAAAAUGGGUCUUUUAGUCGAAUCUGACAAAAUGUUGAACAAGCAGCCAAUUGUUCAUUCUUCAACUUCAGCAUCUGAUUUCGAAACAACACAGAGUGAUGAUACUGAAAUCUAUAGUGAGCUAUCAUCUCACUUGACUAAAAACAAAGAAAAAAUUGGUGAACAUGGUGAGAAGAAAAGGAAAAAUAUGACAGCAACUAUUUACAAAUGGGUUUUUAUUUUACUGGGGAAGAAUCAGAACCUAAACUGCUUU